AGUACAACCGACGUAUAUAAUGUGUUUAAUAUAACUCCUGUCACAUCUGUAGCUAGAUUAGCAAAUGAUUCUUACAAUUUUCUAUACCGUUUCCUACUUUUCUUUUCGAAAUAUUUUAGUACAGAAAUUUCGGACAGUGCAGAUUUCGGACAGAAUAUAGAUCUAGCUAUUAUUGUCAAGCUAUUAAACCAAUUUGAUUGUUAUAAUUAGUUAAGUAUGUUCUUUUGUAGACCCUUCAAUGAAGUUGCUACAGUAUCUAUGUGAAAGACAAGUGUUAAAAAAGUGAAAUCAACAUGGCAACAUUAGCCUAUGUUAACCUACAGUACAGUGCUGUAAUGGGAAUGCAAAUGAAACUGUAGCACUGUUGUUUGGUAAAGCAUGCACAUGUUUGCGAAAUGAGCAUCUUUAGAUCCAAUUUGGUGUAUCACAUGAAAAGAGGAUUGUAAACAAAGGACAAGUAACUUGUGCAGACAGAUAUAAGGCAGCAUGAAUAGUUAGUACUUGGUGCAUCUGCUGAUCAAUGUGUUUGUCAAAGAGGACAUUAACAAUGAUGAGGCUGUAUAUCACCAGGAUUACUGCUGAAUGAUGGAAGGUUUACAGCUAAACAAUCUUAUGAUUGGAAUCAAUAUCCAGGGACAGCUCUCCCUUACAGGGUCCAAGUGUUGUGACCUUGUUAUAUGGCCAACAAAGGGCAUUUAAGUCCUAAAGAUAGUUAAGAAUAAAGUUAUAUAGACUAUCAAACAUUUCAUCAAUU
Ruditapes philippinarum (Manila clam) is the source of this 754-nucleotide long non-coding RNA. RefSeq lists it as uncharacterized. The record is from RefSeq and is a predicted model, not a curated record. Lineage: Eukaryota; Metazoa; Mollusca; Bivalvia; Venerida; Veneridae. The transcript is spliced from 3 exons.